GGGGCGGGAGCAGAGAGACAAGGAAAUGCUGUCACCGCCGUUUAAGAAGCACGUGGAGGUUUGUUAAAGGUAGUGGGAGGCAUAGUUUUUGGCAAUAGCCAGCCAAGGAUACAGGGAACAGGUGCGGCGCCUGCACGCUGACUUCACGUGGUGGAUGUCUGGCUGAGAGAGAAGUAGGAAAUCCUCACAACGCUUCUUCCAGCUUUGAUCUGCCUGGGGCAGCCCGUGGUGGAAGAUGACUCUGUAGCCCUGGUGUCUACCAGUAUCCGGAGUGGGAGCCCCAAGAGCCAUGUAGACAGGCACCCAGCACUGUGCCAGCUAUGUGGGAGUUGGCUGGCUCUGGGGACGAGCUGUUGGCAGUGCAGGUGGCUGGCGACAAGGAUGGAGUGUGAGGCCUCGAGACAGGAUGGCAGGCAGCACAGAAGCCUCCGCACUCAGCAGAGCUGCGGUCCUGGCUGCUCUGAGGAUGGAGACUACAGGAGGACUCGGAAUCCUCUGGGAGUGGAGUUACAGCUGGUUGAGAGCCACGUGAGUGCUGGGAAUCAACCUUGGAACCUCUGGAAAAAGCGGCGAGUCAACCACAACCCAUCGCUCAAGCCCCAUUGCUGGGCCUGGUGACAACGCAUGUCAGUCCUGCCUCAGCCCCCUGAAUGCAUGUUUACAGAUGUGCACCAGAGCACCUGACUCAAGUUUUAAACGAUCAUUUUGAGCACUCCUUCUCAUGGCCAUUUCCCUGUAAAUCAGCAGAGACACUGGGGAAUGGAGCAGUUUGACUCCCAUGGCUGCUGGAGUCUCCUUUACUGCCCCGUCUGUCUUGAGCAACACUGGGCUCUGUCUGUUCUUGUCUGCUUUUAGAGUGGGCUGAGCUGGUAACAUAAAGGAGCAACAGCUGAGUGGCGGUGAUGACGCCUUUAAUCCCAGCCCUCAGGAGGCAGAGGUAGGCAGAUUUCUGAGUCUCAGGCCAGCCUGGGCUACAGAAAAAAAAAAAGGGAAGGAAGAAAAAAGCAGCAGCAGAGACUGCAAAGUGACCAGAGAGCUAAGCAGCCGGCAGGGCAGGCUACCAAAGCAGCAAGAUGGCGGCCACAGGGCAGCUAAAAAGACAAGAGUUGACAGCUGGCAGAAUGGCCAGCUGCCCUGACAGCAGCAGAAGCAAAAGCAGCCGUGAGCACACUCCAGAACCCAGAGGUCAUCAUGGUCAGGACUACUUGGCCUAAGACCUGAAGAGACUCCAGGGGAGAAGCCAUUUCCUGCCCACCCCAAAUGAUGGUGACUCCAGCUUCCCGUAAGAUCUGACGAUGAUCUGCCUCAGUUUCAAAAGCAAGCCAAAAGGGUUAAGAGCUUUUCCUGCAAGGCCCCGCUCGAGCAUCCCAGCCCCGGGCUUGCCAGGGUGAGCUUUUCCUUUGCUUACACUCAUCGAUUCAGGCCAGGCCUGCCUUCACCACACUCCCCACACCAUCUAAGAUGAGGAGAACUGGGAGACUCGUGUGUCGGUCCGGCUGUGCUGAGUCCAGAGUGCCCCCUGGUGGACACUGGUAGCCCUCUAAAUCUGAAUCUCUUCAUUGGGGCAGAGCCUCUAGGCUUGUGCUAAGGCAGGCUACCAGCUCAAUCCAGCGGGAGCUAGAUGCAAGCCAGUCUGGGAAAGAAGAAAGGCAAGGCCAGCAUUCCUGAGCAGCAGGACAUAGCUGUCCUACUCUAAAGGCUGUCUGUCUGCUCAACCUUCAUCAACCUUCACACAGAGACACAAGGGCCUCCAGGAACCAGAAGACGGCAACUCCUUUAAGCCAGCAGUUCUCAGCCUAUGGGUCGUGACCCAUUUGGCAAACCUCUCCAAAAGUAUUUACAUGACACUUCGUAAGAGUAGCAAAAGUAUGGCUGUGAAGUGGCAGAAAAAAUAAUGUUAUGUUUGGGGGUCACCACAACAUGAGGGACUGCACUAAAGGGUUGCUGCGUAAGGAAGGCUGAGAAGCGCUGCCUUAAGUGGACUAACCCCUUUACCCAGGACAACUGAUCUGACUGUGUAGGUCAUAGACUCAGCAGGGCUAACAACUACAUGGAAGAAUGAACACUUUCCACUUUUGUGUAUAUGCAGUAAUAGCUGGCAGAAUUUUUCUCUUCUCAUUUCCCCACAACUGGAUAGUUGACCUCCAUAUCAACAGGUUCUGUAGCCACAGAUUCAACCAACCAUGCAUCAAGAAAUGUUGGUGCUACAUAAUCUGCAGAUGACUUAAGGUAUGCGGCAGAUGUGCAACUUACAGGUAACUUCUAUACAUUAUAUAUAAGUCUUGAGCAUCUACGGGUUCUGGAAUCUCCAGGAGCUCCUGUGGGUACCAAAGGAUCACUGUAUCCUCCUAUAAUUUUUAAACUUUAAUUUUACUUUAUUUGAGACAGGAAUCUUGCACCAUAUCCCAGGUUGGCCUGGGACUCGUUUACUAGUCUCUCAAGGGCUGGGAUUACAGGUGUGUGCCACCAGGCCCAGCCGCUUACUUUUGAUAAGAGAGAAACUAAGAGUACUGGCUAUUCUUCCAGAAGACCCAUGUUCAAGUCCCAGCACCCACAUGGUCAUCACAAUCCUCUGUAUCUCCAGUUCCAAGGGCUGGCCUCCUCUAGCCUCCAGUGCAGGAUGCACAUAUGCAAGUGGUGUAAAACGUACAUGCAGGGGAAAACCCAUACACAUAGCAUUUUAAACAAAUAAAGGGCAAGCAAGAGGCUGGAUGUGGUGGCACACGCCUUUAAUCUCAGCACAUGGGAGGCAGGGGAAACUGGAUCUCUAGGAGUUUGAAGCCAGCCUGGUCUACAUAGUGAGCCCAUUAAAAAAAAUCC
RNAcentral lists this long non-coding RNA (2820 nucleotides) under Mus musculus (house mouse). RNAcentral describes it as "RIKEN cDNA D030028A08 gene (D030028A08Rik)". Lineage: Eukaryota; Metazoa; Chordata; Mammalia; Rodentia; Muridae. The record is from RNAcentral.